GAGACACUAGUAUAAAAUUAAUGCACUGCUUUGUCAAGGCAGAUAUGUGGGAGGGUCCCCCACGUGUUUUA
Molecule: transfer RNA, 71 nt
Filed under: Sillago japonica (Japanese sillago)
Lineage: Eukaryota; Metazoa; Chordata; Actinopteri; Sillaginidae
Description: tRNA-Asp
Rfam family: tRNA
About the family: Transfer RNA (tRNA) molecules are approximately 80 nucleotides in length.
Source: RNAcentral